This 479-nucleotide ribosomal RNA is filed under the name uncultured bacterium. RNAcentral describes it as "bacterial SSU rRNA". It matches the Rfam family "Bacterial small subunit ribosomal RNA", at positions 32 to 507 of the family's 1533-position model. The record is from RNAcentral.
ACGACGUUGGCGGCGUGCUUAAUACAUGCAAGUCAACUGAAGCACCGGUAGUAAUACUGGUGUGGAGGUGGCGCACGGGUGAGUAACACGUAGGUAAUCUGCCUUCAGGUCUGACAUAACCCCGAGAAAUCGGGGCUAAUAGCAGAUGAUGCAGCGGCUUGACAUCAAGACAGUUGUUAAAGCUUCGGCGCCUGAAGAUGAGCCUGCGUCUGAUUAGCUAGUUGGCGGAGUAAUGGCCCACCAAGGCUACGAUCAGUAACUGGUCUGAGAGGAUGAUCAGUCACACUGGAACUGAGACACGGUCCAGACUCCUACGGGAGGCAGCAGUAAGGAAUAUUGCUCAAUGGGAGAAAUCCUGAAGCAGCAACGCCGCGUGAGGGAUGAAGGGCUUUUGCUCGUAAACCUCUGUAGUGAGGGAAAAAAUUUCCACUCUGUGGAAUAUGAUGGUACCUCAAAAGUAAGCCCCGGCUAACUACGUG